CGGUUUUUGGUUUUCGGUUUUUCGGUUUCGGUUCGGUUUUAGUUUUAGGCUAAAUUCAGUUUUUCGGGGUCGGUUCGGUUAGGGUGAAAAAUCAAACCGAAACCCGAAUGCACACCCCUAAUUAAGACGAGUGCAAGGAGGUUUUUAUUAGCAAGUGCAAAAUUAGAUACGGGGAUUUCAUCAACUAUUAUAAAAAGAAGACGUAGCCCAAUGGUCAAAUUACCAAAAAGGCUGGAAUUUACCCGAGAGUAUUGAAGCUUCCGAGAGGUGCUCGGCAAACCGUAAACAAGGGCUUGAGACUGCGCUUGGCACACAUAGUAAUGGAUGUAUAUCAUUUGCGGAGACAACAGCAAAAGUGGUAAAAAUUAUAGUAUUUCAUUAGUUUGAUUUGUUUGUUGUUUUUAAAUCCUUUUACAUUUUCUUAAUGUCCAAAGAGAAUAAUGGAAAACUUCCCCCAUUUACGGAGUUCUUUCUAAAGACCCACAAGCUAAGGAACGGUGAUUCACAAGGAUGACGUUAUGGCACGGGCUGAAGAACAACAGGCUGAAGGAAUAGAGAACCCGGAUCAUGAAGCCAUCUUCUUGAAGCUUUUUGGGAAGGUGAAGAAGAGAAAACAAAUUUAUGGCGCGGAGCAAGCAACACGCAUAUACUUCCCAUUAGCUACUCACUCAUUUGUUGGUUCUGCACCCGUCAAUGCUAGCCAGCCAGGUCGAUGAACUGCUCGAGCAACGAGUUAAAGAACAUCGUGAUCAAAUGCAACUGCAAAUUGAAAAAGUGCAAGCCAAUUCAGAUAGGAAAAUUGCACUGGUGCGUGAGGAAGUAGCUCAGAGGGAGCAAGCAACAGAUGCGAGAGGAAGCCGCUAAAAGGGGGCAACAGAUGGAAGAUCGAAUGAUGCACCUUCUUAAUGAAAAAAUGGGACAAAUGAAAAAUGUGUAAUUUAGUGUAAUUUUGUAAGACAAUCUUAUUUUUAUAUAUUUUUACUAAACAAUCUUAUCUUUUUAAUGUUA
Molecule: RNA transcript, 1008 nt
Organism: Salvia splendens (bonfire salvia)
Lineage: Eukaryota; Viridiplantae; Streptophyta; Magnoliopsida; Lamiales; Lamiaceae
Exons: 2
Source: RefSeq, a predicted model, not a curated record